AACGAACGCUGGCGGCAUGCCUAACACAUGCAAGUCGAACGAGACCUUCGGGUCUAGUGGCGCACGGGUGCGUAACGCGUGGUAACCUGCCCUUAGGUUCGGAAUCACUCCCCGAAAGGGGUGCUCAUACCGGAUAAUGUCUUCGGACCAAAGAUUUCUCGCCUUUGGAUGGGCCCGCGUUGGUUUAGCGAGUUGGUAGGGUAAAAGCCUACCAAGGCGACGUUCCAUAGCUGGUCUGAGAAGAUGAUCAACCACAGUGGGACUGAGACCCGGCCCAGACUCCUACGGGAGGCAGCAGUGGGUAAUAUUGGACAAUGGGCGAAAACCUGAUCCAGCAAUGCCGCGUGAGUGAUGAAGGCCGUAGUGUUGUAAAUCUCUUUUACCCGGGAUGAUAAUGACAGUACCGGGUGAAUAAGCUCCGGCUAACUCCGUG
RNAcentral lists this ribosomal RNA (433 nucleotides) under uncultured bacterium. RNAcentral's name for it is "partial 16S ribosomal RNA". It matches the Rfam family "Bacterial small subunit ribosomal RNA", at positions 29 to 507 of the family's 1533-position model. The record is from RNAcentral.